This 440-nucleotide ribosomal RNA is filed under the name uncultured bacterium. Its description in RNAcentral is "partial 16S ribosomal RNA". It matches the Rfam family "Bacterial small subunit ribosomal RNA", at positions 338 to 795 of the family's 1533-position model. The record is from RNAcentral.
CCUACGGGAGGCAGCAGUGGGGGAUAUUGCACAAUGGGGGAAACCCUGAUGCAGCGACGCCGCGUGUGGGAAGACGGUCCUCUGGAUUGUAAACCACUGUCCUCAGGGACCAAGAUGACGGUAUCUGGGGAGGAAACUCCGGCAAAACACGCUCCAUCAGCCGCGGCAAUAUGUUGGGAGCGAGCGUUGUCCGGAAUUACUGGGUGUAACGGGAGCGUAGCGGGGGAUGCAAGUUGGGUGUCAAAACUACCGGCUCAACUGGAGGUCGCACUCAAAACUGCAGCUCUUGAGUGAAGUAGAGGCAGGCGGAAUUCCUGGUGUAGCGGUGAAAUGCGUAGAUAUUAGGAGGAACACCAGUGGCGAAGGCGGGCUGCUGGGCUUUUACUGACGCUGAGGCUCGAAAGUGUGGGGAGCGAACAGGAUUAGAUACCCGAGUAGUC